GCUCAGGAUGAACGCUAGCUACAGGCUUAACACAUGCAAGUCGAGGGGCAGCAUGGUCUUAGCUUGCUAAGGCUGAUGGCGACCGGCGCACGGGUGAGUAACACGUAUCCAACCUGCCGUCUACUCUUGGCCAGCCUUCUGAAAGGAAGAUUAAUCCAGGAUGGGAUCAUGAGUUCACAUGUCCGCAUGAUUAAAGGUAUUUUCCGGUAGACGAUGGGGAUGCGUUCCAUUAGAUAGUAGGCGGGGUAACGGCCCACCUAGUCAACAAUGGAUAGGGGUUCUGAGAGGAAGGUCCCCCACAUUGGAACUGAGACACGGUCCAAACUCCUACGGGAGGCAGCAGUGAGGAAUAUUGGUCAAUGGGCGAUGGCCUGAACCAGCCAAGU
This 386-nucleotide ribosomal RNA is filed under the name uncultured Bacteroides sp. Its description in RNAcentral is "bacterial SSU rRNA". It matches the Rfam family "Bacterial small subunit ribosomal RNA", at positions 22 to 397 of the family's 1533-position model. The record is from RNAcentral. Lineage: Bacteria; Pseudomonadati; Bacteroidota; Bacteroidia; Bacteroidales; Bacteroidaceae.